CCGAUCUGGAAACGAGCUCCGCGUCGAUCUUAGUCAUUCAUUCAUCAGACAAAACCGCCGACGAAAACCCUAUCCGCUCACCCGUGCCUCCUCUCUUCCCCUCCCGAACAGAGAGCUCUCGGGUGGAGAGGCUCAACCCGCGUCCAUCACACUCCGGCGGCGCCACAGAAAGCGGGAGUAGUAGUGAAGACCACGAUGGGAUGCUACUCUGUCGGUGAUCAAGGACGGGAAAAAGAAGGCUGUUUGAUGUGUGGAUGGAUUUGAAUGGGACGGACGCAUCACGGUUGAAGGAUGUUCGCCACAACUUAAAAGGAGGUCAAUCAUGUUUAAAUUGUCUUUCUAAAUUGGCUUUCACAUGCAGCAGCACCAUAGGAAUUAGUCCUCAAUCAAGGUAUUUUACCUAUUCCCCUCUUAUGUAUAGUGGAUUUGUGGUGGUUGUUUGCCACCAUCGGAGCUAUGACUGUGCAUGACACAAUUGAAAUUCUGCAUAUGAUCGACGUCCUUUGAUAUGGUUUUUUGUUAAAUAGUUUUUCUUCCUACCCUUUUAUCAUUUGAGGGUAUAAAAUACUUGUGCAUAGUUUGGAUAAGGAAUUUGAUAUAUGACCUUCCUUUCUCCCAUGAGGAAUUAGGAAUUUUGAUAUACUUACUCAUUUCAGUUCUUUCCAAUAUGAACCGAGGCUUUAUAUUUUUCUGUUUGAGUUACAGACUUGUCUGGCCUAUGACGACAACAAUGUGUCAGGACAAAGCAUUUUUUGAUUGGAUCAAACGAUGAGUUUUCCAAUUUUUCUGUAAGUAUCUUGGAUAUGCAGAUCAUCAUCCGUAAAGAUUAGCAUUGGUAAUACUAUGUUUGGAGUGCAGCCUCUUUCACUAAUAAUACCCAAUAAGUGACAGACUUCGAAUAUUUACUCGAGUGAGUACCGAGGAGGCGAGAAGCACAACUCGGGUCAUGAGUGAGAAGUAGGAGGGUAUCGGUCAUCUGCAACUUUGGAUGGUUCCCAAGUUGAUUACCGGCGGUCUGAUGCGGGAGAUGCUACGCCAGCCAUGGUCGCUGGCGGAAGGACCUCUGGAGAAAGCGAUAGCUCAGCAUCGAUGGCGACAGCGGCCGGAUAGGUAGGCACUCUCUCCUCUCCCUCUCUCCGGCUUCUCAAACCCUAGCGCCGCCUGCUUUUGGCCGUCUUCUCCAGUGCCAGUGACCGGGAGUCAGCCGACACCGUUCAUCUCCUCCCACCGGUAGCCUUGCCCUGCGCUUCCUCCCCUCACGGCUUUUUCUUGAACAUGGAGGAAGGAUGCGGCUGAACGUAGACAAUGACCGGCAGGGAGAAAAACAAGGAGGUUGGGAUGAUCUACAUGACAAUCUGACCUAGCAGUGUUCAACUUCUUAUUCACUUCUUGUCUUCUCCGCUGUUUUUUCUGUUUGUUUUAGUUCAGAUCAAAGCAAUAGUGACACUUCUGCAUAUAUAGAUUGAAGUGAUUAUUUUUUGUUUUGAUAAGUUCUUCUUGCUGAAGCGAAUAAAGCUUCAUCAGUGCCCAUGAACUAGGAGCUGAUUGGCUUCUAAAGAGGCAUCAAACUUUAAAAGCAAUAUUAUAAUGUAUGGUUAAGAAACUUAAUUGAUCUGAUUUUGUUCCUCUUCAUGGCCUUUUCAAAGUAUAAUUUUGUCCUGGCAAGAGGCAAAUCCUUAACACGUGAAUUGUUUAAAAGGUAUUGUAGGACACCAAAUUUCGAGCAAAAUCGAGAUAUUAGACUUGAAGAUGUCGAUACUGCAUUCAGUGGGUGUGUUUUUUCCUAUUGCGAUUCAACUACAUCAUGCAAUGGAGGCUCAAGGGAGGCAAAAAAAAAUGCUACCUAGGGGUUUGCUGCUUCCUUUCAGAUACCUAUUCUUUCUCUGAACAGGAAUUUAUUGACGCGUUACAAGUAGCAUGCAGUUCUUGUCCUAUAAACUACACGGCCUAUGAUGAUCCCAACAAUGUUUUCUAGCUCUAUACAUAAGCUUAAGUGAUCUAAAAGAGAUACGAAUGGAAAUUCAAAAUACCUGGAAAAUCCAAUAACGCAAGAGUUAGAGUGAAGAGGUUGCAUACAUAAGCUACGUAAGGAAAUAUAUUCAACCACAGUUAUCUCGCAAACCCGCAGAACAAUUGAAUGUUGAGAAGAUGAAAGGAGGAAACAGUCCUCAGAGUAAAAAAGAAGGUCAUCACUGCAACAUUAUUUAGCUUCAUAUCAUCUACAUCGUGUUAUGUUGUGGCGAGACUGAUGACUUUGAUCUUGGGUAUUAACAGGUUGGAGUGGGAGAUGUUGUAUAAGCCUAAGUGACCACAUGGCCACUACCUAUCAUGCAAUAUGGCGAUUGAUAUGGAUCUAAUCAUGAGAAGAGUAUAAAGACAGAGACAUGAUGGAGGGAAUGCAGAUUGGUCCUCAAUGCGUAUCACUAAGUUUUUUUUGGAAGAAAUGAGGAAAAUUAGCUCCAUGGAAGUUCAUCUGAAUAAUGUAAGUCAUAACUCAAGUUUUGGUUCUGGUUGCCCUGAUUUGGUGGCCUGAUGUACGCAUGCAUAACCUGCUAUAAUCUUAUUCAUGCCUACAAAGUGCUCAGUAAAGCCGCAAAACAAUGUGAAUAUGCAUGAAAAAGGUAUAUUUCUGCUCCAAUCAAACAUUCUCACCCUGAUCCAUCAUUUCUGGAUAUCCGUAUUCUUGAUUUGCGGCCAAAUUAGUUUGUCUAUUUGUCUAUUGUCAGGUUAAUAUCAUGAUAGGAAUAUUAGUGUGUAAUUUUUCUCUUUCUAGGCGAUGAAUGCAUAAAGUAAACCUUUGGACUCCUUCAACUUUUUUAUUUGCAGGAUUGUCUGCACAAUUACUGGAAUGGAGAAGGGGAGAUAAAGGCGAAGUUGCAGUCAUGAUGUCCUUGAGCUAAUGACAAACAUUAGUUCCUGAUCCAUUAUUUUCUUCUCAUGGCUACCUGUAUAUGUCAGGGCCGCAUGCCCUUUUGUGUGUUUCUUGUUUUUUUUUCCUUUUGGUAUUUCACCAUUUCAGUUUUGGGUAUUGUGUUUAGGGUUCCACUUGAAUUCGGUACUGAAAGUUGAUGUUCACCAGUUCAGAUUUCUGAACACCUUGUUUCUGAGAAAACAGAAUUUCAAAUGAAUGGAAAUGACAUUGCAUUUUUUUUUCUUA
Molecule: RNA transcript, 3157 nt
Organism: Lolium perenne
Lineage: Eukaryota; Viridiplantae; Streptophyta; Magnoliopsida; Poales; Poaceae
Source: RefSeq, a predicted model, not a curated record